This 74-nucleotide transfer RNA is filed under the name Candidatus Entotheonella factor. Its description in RNAcentral is "Candidatus Entotheonella sp. TSY1 tRNA". It matches the Rfam family "tRNA". Rfam says of the family: Transfer RNA (tRNA) molecules are approximately 80 nucleotides in length. Their secondary structure includes four short double-helical elements and three loops (D, anti-codon, and T loops). Further hydrogen bonds mediate the characteristic L-shaped molecular structure. tRNAs have two regions of fundamental functional importance: the anti-codon, which is responsible for specific mRNA codon recognition, and the 3' end, to which the tRNAs corresponding amino acid is attached (by aminoacyl-tRNA synthetases). tRNAs cope with the degeneracy of the genetic code in two manners: having more than one tRNA (with a specific anti-codon) for a particular amino acid; and 'wobble' base-pairing, i.e. permitting non-standard base-pairing at the 3rd anti-codon position. The record is from Rfam by way of RNAcentral. Lineage: Bacteria; Pseudomonadati; Candidatus Tectimicrobiota; Candidatus Entotheonellia; Candidatus Entotheonellales; Candidatus Entotheonellaceae.
GCCCCCUUAGCUCAGCUGGAUAGAGCACCGGACUUCUAAUCCGGUUGUCGCAGGUUCGACUCCUGCAGGGGGUG